GCCCGGGUGGCGAAACUGGCAAACGCAGGGGACUUAAAAUCCCCGGGGGGCGACCCCAUGUGGGUUCGAGUCCCACCCCGGGUA
Non-coding RNA from Gemmatimonadetes bacterium GWC2_71_9, 84 nucleotides. The record is from Rfam. NCBI's taxonomy places the organism in Bacteria, Pseudomonadati, Gemmatimonadota.